GUCCCUGUAGCUCAGUAGGAUAGAGCAACUGCCUCCUAAGCAGUAGGUCGGAGGUUCGAAUCCUCUCAGGGACG
RNAcentral lists this transfer RNA (74 nucleotides) under Tetragenococcus koreensis. Its description in RNAcentral is "tRNA-Arg". It matches the Rfam family "tRNA". Rfam says of the family: Transfer RNA (tRNA) molecules are approximately 80 nucleotides in length. Their secondary structure includes four short double-helical elements and three loops (D, anti-codon, and T loops). The record is from RNAcentral. Lineage: Bacteria; Bacillati; Bacillota; Bacilli; Lactobacillales; Enterococcaceae.